RNAcentral lists this ribosomal RNA (873 nucleotides) under Pleospora welwitschiae. Its description in RNAcentral is "LSU rRNA". It matches the Rfam family "Eukaryotic large subunit ribosomal RNA", at positions 66 to 958 of the family's 3401-position model. Lineage: Eukaryota; Fungi; Ascomycota; Dothideomycetes; Pleosporales; Pleosporaceae. The record is from RNAcentral.
CAACAGGGAUUGCCCUAGUAACGGCGAGUGAAGCGGCAACAGCUCAAAUUUGAAAUCUGGCUCUUUCAGAGUCCGAGUUGUAAUUUGCAGAGGGCGCUUUGGUGUUGGCAGCGGUCCAAGUUCUUUGGAACAGGACGUCACAGAGGGUGAGAAUCCCGUACGURGUCGCUAGCCCUCACCGUGUAAAGCCCCUUCGACGAGUCGAGUUGUUUGGGAAUGCAGCUCUAAAUGGGAGGUAAAUUUCUUCUAAAGCUAAAUACUGGCCAGAGACYGAUAGCGCACAAGUAGAGUGAUCGAAAGAUGAAAAGCACUUUGGAAAGAGAGUUAAACAGCACGUGAAAUUGUUGAAAGGGAAGCGCUUGCAGCYAGACUUGUUUGUAGUUGCUUAUCUAGGCUUCUGCCUAGUGCACUCUUCUGCAGACAGGCCAGCAUCAGUUUGGGCGGUUGGAUAAAGGUCUCUGUYAUGUACCUCCUUUCRGGGAGGCCUUAUAGGGGAGACGACAUGCAACYAGCCURGACUGAGGUCCGCGCAUUUGCUAGGAUGCUGGCGUAAUGGCUGUAAGCGGCCYGUCUUGAAACACGGACCAAGGAGUCUAACAUCUAUGCGAGUGUUUGGGUGUCAAGCCCAGACGCGUAAUGAAAGUGAACGGAGGUGGGAACCCUUUGGGUGCACCAUCGACCGAUCCUGAUGUCUUCGGAUGGAUUUGAGUAAGAGCAUGGCUGUUGGGACCCGAAAGAUGGUGAACUAUGCUUGAAUAGGGUGAAGCCAGAGGAAACUCUGGUGGAGGCUCGCAGCGGUUCUGACGUGCAAAUCGAUCGUCAAAUUUGGGCAUAGGGGCGAAAGACUAAUCGAACUAUCUAGUAGCUGGUUCC